RNAcentral lists this ribosomal RNA (254 nucleotides) under uncultured bacterium. RNAcentral describes it as "partial 16S ribosomal RNA". It matches the Rfam family "Bacterial small subunit ribosomal RNA", at positions 524 to 776 of the family's 1533-position model. The record is from RNAcentral.
CACGUAGGGGGCAAGCGUUGUCCGGAUUUAUUGGGCGUAAAGAGCUCGUAGGUGGUUCAGUAAGUCGGGUGUGAAACCUCCAGGCUCAACCUGGAGACGCCACCCGAUACUGCUGUGACUAGAGUCCAGUAGGGGAGCAUGGAAUUCCUGGUGUAGCGGUGAAAUGCGCAGAUAUCAGGAGGAACACCGGUGGCGAAGGCGGGUCUCUGGGCAGUAACUGACGCUGAGGAGCGAAAGCGUGGGGAGCGAACAGG